This 468-nucleotide ribosomal RNA is filed under the name uncultured bacterium. RNAcentral's name for it is "partial 16S ribosomal RNA". It matches the Rfam family "Bacterial small subunit ribosomal RNA", at positions 28 to 507 of the family's 1533-position model. The record is from RNAcentral.
GACGAACGCUGGCGGCGUGCUUAACACAUGCAAGUCGAACGGAAGGGCCCUGCUUUUGUGGGGUGCUCGAGUGGCGAACGGGUGAGUAACACGUGAGUAACCUGCCCUUGACUUUGGGAUAACUUCAGGAAACUGGGGCUAAUACCGGAUAGGAGCUCCUGCUGCAUGGUGGGGGUUGGAAAGUUUCGGCGGUUGGGGAUGGACUCGCGGCUUAUCAGCUUGUUGGUGGGGUAGUGGCUUACCAAGGCUUUGACGGGUAGCCGGCCUGAGAGGGUGACCGGCCACAUUGGGACUGAGCUACGGCACAGACUCCUACGGGAGGCAGCAGUGGGGAAUAUUGCACAAUGGGCGGAAGCCUGAUGCAGCAACGCCGCGUGCGGGAUGACGGCCUUCGGGUUGUAAACCGCUUUCGCCUGUGACGAAGCGUGAGUGACGGUAAUGGGUAAAGAAGCACCGGCUAACUACGUG